This is a long non-coding RNA of Pangasianodon hypophthalmus (striped catfish), 1772 nucleotides long. RefSeq lists it as uncharacterized. The transcript has 2 exons. The record is from RefSeq and is a predicted model, not a curated record. Lineage: Eukaryota; Metazoa; Chordata; Actinopteri; Siluriformes; Pangasiidae.
GCAUAAUUAUUCACCCCCCCCCUUUCAAUAUUGUGGAGAUUCAUGACAUAUAAUCCAAAUUAAGUCCAUUCAGUUCCAGGAUGUAACACUAUGAAAUACGGGAAAGCUCAAGUGGGGGGUGAAUAUUUAUGCAAGGCACUGUACAUAGUCACUAGGGUUUUUUUUUUUUUUCUCCAUUGCUACAUUGUGGCUUCCCCUGUCACAUGCCCGCAUCCUGUUUAUUUAUGGUUGAGAAACAUUGUUCUGUAACAGCUCUGUUUUUUCUCUUACACUCAGGAGCUUUCGUCGUCAGUCUGAUGUAAUCUGCUCAGGCCGGGCCGAGUAAAGUCCUCUGUUGAUCUGCGAGCAGAGCUGUGCCCCAUGCUGAGUCUGAUCUAGAACACUGUCUGUACAAAAGUAGCCACUGAGGACACGAGCACUUCUGUACACAAUGUUCCAGGCGUAUACAUCCUUCAGCAAUACUACACUGAGGACAGUAGCACAGCCAGCUGCAGUCAGGAAAACAGUUUUGACGCGUCUCAGCUGUAUUGCCGUUCGUUCCAUGUAGUUUCAUUGUGCAACUGAGGAGAGAGAAUUAUUUGGCUGUAAUACAUCAGGACUCGGAGUAUCUGAGUUCAGUCAUCUGUCAUGCACUAGCCUAGUAAUAUGUUCGUAAUCAUACUAAUCAUUCAGAAUAUACAAAGCUUCGUAUAUACACCUAAAUUUAAUAGAGUCAAGCAAAGGAAAUUGUGUCUGAUUGAACAAAGUAAAGAAUCUGUUUCAUAAUUAGUGAGAUAGAAGAAAUCGCCUGUAAACUUUGACGGUUUUAAUCUUUGUGUACUGUUUCUGCAUUUGCGUAUCUGUCAUGACUUAUAUAUAUAUACAUUUUAAGAGAUUUGAGCAUCAUUACUGUCACUAUCCAAGUAACAUAUUGCAGUAAAAUGAUGCAGGACACGAUUGCUUCAUUAGGAGAAUGUUUUUGCCGAAACUACUGUCAGAGCCGCAGUUAGAGAAUAUUAACCCGCCUCUUCUGAUUCGAGAAUUCAUCUGCACUGUGGUAUAAGGUCAGUUACGUGUCAUGCUUCUCGCUGUUACAGUAACAUUGUCACGAAGUUCAAUUCCUUUACAGACACAUACAUUUUGACGUGCAUGUGAACAGAUGUGUGAUUUCUGUAAUUGGAAUGAAUUGACAAAUCUUAGUGUGUAAACGUGAGUAUUAUUAGAGUGUUGUACUCAUUUGAAGUGGUGCAUUUCAGCACUCAGUAAUGCAAUAAUCCUGAAAAAAAACUGGAGGCCUUGGAGCAGCAGAGAGAAGAGUGAGGGGAAAAACUGGCAUAUAUAUAUUUAUGCCAUAUAUAAUAUUUGCAAAAUCCAUGCCUUUUAUACCUGUUUUUUGUGUUUUAAUGCUAACAUUUGUAGAAAGUUCAGACCAGACCAAAAGUUUUCAUUAGAUUAGACACUUAAACAUUACGCUUGAUACGUUAGACUGCAUACAAUGUAUAAUAGAACUGAUCAGUGGUUCUUUCUCUCUCUGUCUUCCUCUUGACAUAAAUAUGUAGUUAAUUAUAUCAUAAUGUCUUUUCAGUUUAUGGAACUAAGUUUAAUAUUAAUCCUACUAGUCUGUGGGACCGUGGGUGGAGGAGAGUGUGUGUAGCUUGCUUGAAAGACUUCUUUCACAGUUCACAGCUUGUACAUCUGUAAGUCCAGAUGUGCACAAGCUUUAGCUGAUUUGUAAUUUCUCAAACAGUUUCAACUCAACCAUAAAGUUUAAAAAAAAAAAAAAAAACAAGAAA